CGAACGCUGGCGGCGUGCUUAACACAUGCAAGUCGAACGGUGACGGAGAGCUUGCUCUCCUGAUCAGUGGCGAACGGGUGAGUAACACGUGGGCAACCUGCCCCAGACUUCGGGAUAACGCUUCGAAAGAGGUGCUAAUACCGGAUACGAACUUCUCUGGCAUCUGGGAAGUUGGAAAGUUUUUCGGUCUGGGAUGGGCCCGCGGCCUAUCAGCUUGUUGGUGAGGUAACGGCUCACCAAGGCGACGACGGGUAGCCGGCCUGAGAGGCGACCGGCCACACUGGGACUGAGACACGGCCCAGACUCCUACGGGAGGCAGCAGUGGGAAUAUUGGACAAUGGGCGAAAGCCUGAUCCAGCAAUGCCGCGUGAGUGAUGAAGGCCUUAGGGUUGUAAAGCUCUUUUACCAGGGAUGAUAAUGACAGUACCUGGAGAAUAAGCUCCGGCUAACUCCGCGCCAGCAG
This 463-nucleotide ribosomal RNA is filed under the name uncultured bacterium. RNAcentral describes it as "bacterial SSU rRNA". It matches the Rfam family "Bacterial small subunit ribosomal RNA", at positions 30 to 514 of the family's 1533-position model. The record is from RNAcentral.